AUUGAACGCUGGCGGCAGGCCUAACACAUGCAAGUCGAACGGUAACAGGAAGCAGCUUGCUGCUUUACUGACGAGUGGCGGACGGGUGAGUAAUGUCUGGGAAACUGCCCGAUGGAGGGGGAUAACUACUGGAAACGGUAGCUAAUACCGCAUAACGUCGCAAGACCAAAGAGGGGGACCUUAGGGCCUCUUGCCAUCGGAUGUGCCCAGAUGGGAUUAGCUAGUAGGUGGGGUAACGGCUCACCUAGGCGACGAUCCCUAGCUGGUCUGAGAGGAUGACCAGCCACACUGGAACUGAGACACGGUCCAGACUCCUACGGGAGGCAGCAGUGGGGAAUAUUGCACAAUGGGCGCAAGCCUGAUGCAGCCAUGCCGCGUGUAUGAAGAAGGCCUUCGGGUUGUAAAGUACUUUCAGCGGGGAGGAAGGGAGUAAAGUUAAUACCUUUGCUCAUUGACGUUACCCGCAGAAGAAGCACCGGCUAACUCCGUG
Molecule: ribosomal RNA, 490 nt
Filed under: uncultured bacterium
Lineage: Bacteria
Description: partial 16S ribosomal RNA
Rfam family: Bacterial small subunit ribosomal RNA
Source: RNAcentral